This is a long non-coding RNA of Bactrocera latifrons, 339 nucleotides long. RefSeq lists it as uncharacterized. Lineage: Eukaryota; Metazoa; Arthropoda; Insecta; Diptera; Tephritidae. The transcript is spliced from 2 exons. The record is from RefSeq and is a predicted model, not a curated record.
CUCAAGCAUACUUGCAACCAUAUGUAGUAGAAUUUUCGGUGUCGAAAAAGCGAAACGUUUUGACAAAAAUGGUGAAUUUUCGUAUUGUUCUAAUCAAAUCGAUAUUUGCUGUGCUCAUGAUUCUACAAUUGGCCUCUGAUGCGGAUAUCGUGACCGUUUUCAAGCGAACUUUUGGCAAAGCGUCUUUAAAUGAUGACAACUGUGGCUGUGGAAAAUAACAACGCAAUACUUUUAGUCGAGAAAAGUGCUAGUCAUAAGUAAAAUCAUUUGCGAGUUUAGAAUUGUUUAAAAUAUAUAAAUUAAAUAUUCCAAAAGUGAGCUUAAACUCCUGAAAUUUUA